ACGGGGUGCAGCAGGCGCGAACACUUUACAAUGCGGGAAACCGCGAUAAGGGAAACCNCGAGUGCCAGCAUCAAAUGUUGGCUGUCCAGAUGAUUAAAAAUCAUUUGUUAGCAAGGGCCGGGCAAGACCGGUGCCAGCCGCCGCGGUAACACCGGCGGCCCGAGUGGUAGCCGUUUUUAUUGGGUCUAAAGGGUCCGUAGCCGGCCUGAUAAGUCCUUUGGGAAAUCUGGCAGCUUAACUGUCAGGCUUCUAAGGGAUACUGUCAGGCUUGGGACCGGAAGAGGUAAGGGGUACUCCCAGGGGUAGGAGUGAAAUCUUGUAAUCCCUGGGGGACCAUCUGUGGCGAAGGCGCCUUACCAGAACGGGUCCGACGGUGAGGGACGAAAGCUAGGGGAGCAAACCGGAUUAGAUACCCGGGUAGUCCUAGCUGUAAACGAUGCUCGCUAGGUGUCAGACACGGUGCGACCGUGUUUGGUGCCGCAGGGAAGCCGUUAAGCGAGCCACCUGGAAGUACGUCGCAAGGC
RNAcentral lists this ribosomal RNA (524 nucleotides) under uncultured archaeon. RNAcentral's name for it is "bacterial SSU rRNA". It matches the Rfam family "Archaeal small subunit ribosomal RNA", at positions 325 to 849 of the family's 1478-position model. The record is from RNAcentral.